This 253-nucleotide ribosomal RNA is filed under the name uncultured bacterium. RNAcentral describes it as "partial 16S ribosomal RNA". It matches the Rfam family "Bacterial small subunit ribosomal RNA", at positions 524 to 776 of the family's 1533-position model. The record is from RNAcentral.
UACAGAGGGUGCGAGCGUUAAUCGGAGUGACUGGGCGUAAAGGGCGCGUAGGCGGUUAUAUUAGUCUGAUGUGAAAGGCCCGGGCUUAACCUGGGAUGUGCGUUGGAAACGGUAUAGCUAGAGUUUGGGAGAGGGAAGUGGAAUUUCCGGUGUAGCGGUGAAAUGCGUAGAGAUCGGAAAGAACACUCGUGGCGAAGGCGACUUUCUGGCCCAAAACUGACGCUGAGGCGCGAAGGCGUGGGGAGCAAACAGG